GGGGCAGCUACUUCAGCAGCUGAAUGAGGGAUCUCUACAUCAGCUGUUAAGAUCAUGGGCAGAUGGUCUUCCUAAGCAUUUGAAUCAUACAUCAGACCUGAUUCAAAACCAUUAUUGAAGCUCAGCAAGCUCUCCUGUAACUAAUCAGGAACCUUAGGAUUCACAACUGGUGGGUAUACUUCAUCUACUUUUUUUGGGGGGGAAGGCCGGCCCCGUCUGGAGGUCUCAUAAUCCACCUAAUUUUGGGGGUCUGCUGCGCCCCUGCCUUCGUCUUCAGGCAGGAAAUGCAGAUUCGCUACCCUCGGAUUACGAACCAUGGACGGGGCCUUCCGCCAAAGAAAUUUAUAAUUGUGCUCGCUGAGCUGUCAAUAAAUGUAUGCUUCGUACAUUCCUCUA
Molecule: long non-coding RNA, 396 nt
Organism: Carassius gibelio (silver crucian carp)
Lineage: Eukaryota; Metazoa; Chordata; Actinopteri; Cypriniformes; Cyprinidae
Exons: 2
Source: RefSeq, a predicted model, not a curated record